Molecule: long non-coding RNA, 551 nt
Organism: Saccostrea echinata
Lineage: Eukaryota; Metazoa; Mollusca; Bivalvia; Ostreida; Ostreidae
Exons: 3
Source: RefSeq, a predicted model, not a curated record
UAUGAAUUAAACACAUCUGUAGGGUCACUGCUUGUCGGGGACCUUACCGCUUUGUAAAUUAUAUCAUUGGCAUCGUCUAAGAAACCAAGUCAUUCAAUUUACAAAUAGCUGAGAGGUGCUUUUUGGAAAAUGUUAAUUAGUGUCUGUGUUUCGACCAAUGAAAAAAAUUGCAAGCCAGACAGUUAUGCGCAGACGUCUCGAUUUUGACAUUGGAGUCGGACGUGAUUGGCUGGGUGUAAAUCUGAGAAUGACAUGGGGAGAUAACUCUGGUAAUCUUGUGCAUCAAUAAUCUAAACCAUGGAAUACACAGAUGCAAAACUGAAAACGGUCACAAUUUUGACAAAUGAGCAUCACUGGUAAUUCAUCUGUCACCUUUCACCUGUGUUGACCGCAAAAGGAACAUCUGGAAUGGUAUUGUGGCACUCGAAUAUAUCUGCUCAACUUUCAAUAUUGGAUAACGUCUAUAAUGCAGUCACGUGAUUCACCCCGUCCAUUUUUUUCGGUAUUGGAUACCAUCUGUCUUAAAGACCCAGUUUUAAAUACCAUCUAUG